RNAcentral lists this ribosomal RNA (253 nucleotides) under uncultured bacterium. RNAcentral's name for it is "partial 16S ribosomal RNA". It matches the Rfam family "Bacterial small subunit ribosomal RNA", at positions 524 to 776 of the family's 1533-position model. The record is from RNAcentral.
UACGUAGGUGGCAAGCGUUAUCCGGUUUUACUGGGUGUAAAGGGCGUGUAGGCGGGACUGCAAGUCAGAUGUGAAAACCACGGGCUCAACCUGUGGCCUGCAUUUGAAACUGUAGUUCUUGAGUACUGGAGAGGCAGACGGAAUUCCUAGUGUAGCGGUGAAAUGCGUAGAUAUUAGGAGGAACACCAGUGGCGAAGGCGGUCUGCUGGACAGCAACUGACGCUGAGACGCGAAAGCGUGGGGAGCAAACAGG